Molecule: long non-coding RNA, 3690 nt
Organism: Felis catus (domestic cat)
Lineage: Eukaryota; Metazoa; Chordata; Mammalia; Carnivora; Felidae
Exons: 2
Source: RefSeq, a predicted model, not a curated record
AUUCCUCAAAAGUAGGUGAACUGCUUUCUUCUCAUUUUUUCCAUAAUGUCCUUUAAGUAGAGGAUGAAGGAUGCUUUACAGAGGUGAAUAAAAUUCACUGCCCUAUCAUUAUGAAGGGCUGACUCAAACUUUCAAAUAUUUUGAGUGGUAGGAAAAAAUAAGCACAAGAUGAUUUUAUGAGUUUUAAAAGUGUUGUCUGACCCCAGGGAGAGAUCCAACUGGACCAAACCUGCUUUAUCCCUCCUGGAUGCAUAACAUGCAUUGGGAAAUUAAAGACUUUGAGAAGUCCCGUGGCCCCCCAAAGGAAUAAUUUUCUCCAACUUUACUCAUCUUGGAAAUGAUGGGGGAAAGGUCAAUAGGACUCUCUGGUGAAACUGGAUGUGAGAAAUAGACUGAUACAUGGUAGCCUAGACUUUGCACUUCUAAGACAUUACACCUUUUGGGAUAUUUAAAGUAUCUGUGGCAAACCUGUGAUCUUCUGAAGUUCCAAGUGGAGGUGUGGAGUGCUCCUGAUGGCAGAAUUUCCUGGAGAACGAAAUUGAUGUUUGUACACCAAACUUAAAACCUAGCAGGUAGUUUGGAUGUGAUAAGACAGAGAAGAAAGUUGGUGCCUUCAUCAUCUAUCAUCUUCUGCCCUUUUCAUAGACCCCAGACCCAUGAACAAGCAGAACCACUUCAUUUUGCAUUCCACUGCCCAGUCCUCUCUGCUAUUGUGCUCUUCAAAGAUUCUGGGCAUCUUCGGAGUCUGGUAAAAAAAAAAAAAAAAAAAAAAAAAAGGUGGAUGCUACAUAUGCUUCUGAUUUGGAUUUUCAUAAUAACAUUCCCUAAGAUUUCCAAAAGGCCAACACCUUGAAAAAGUAUGUUAAAUGGCUUAGUGUUUGUUUUUUGAAUGUUUUAAAUGCUGCAUGCAACUUUGUUUGGUUCUGGGUAUGCAUUUAGCAUUUAAUUAGAAGUCAGUGCAGUGCUCCUUUUCUGCUUUAUUUUCUACAAAAAGAUUUAGUAGUGGACAACUAUGUCUGUGAAGCUGGGGUGACUUUCCAAAAGGGAACAUAUAGCCAAGGUUUUCUUUCUCCUUAAGCACCAGGGCGAAGGUUGGCCUCACACAUAUAAGUUGUGACAGGUCCAUUUCUGGCUGUGUAGUUGGAUUCCCAGAAUGUCAUUUCUUCUUGUAUUUCAUGAUUCUGUCACUCCAGGGUUGGAGUCACUCAUUCUAUUACCAUCUUAGAUUUCAGUUUCCAUAAUGUGCCCAUCUGAAUUCAGCAUUAAUUUUCUUUUCCCUGGCAAGAAAACACCAAAUAGUGUGUUUAACCCCUUGAGUCAUCAAUUCAUCAAUAGGCCAGGCUCUGUACUUUGGGACAGCUCAACAAACAAUUUUACCACUGACCACAGAGUUGGAUAGAGUAAUCCCUUUCUGCAGAGAGCACAGAGGAUGAUCCAAGUCAGGGCAUAUGGGGAAUGAUUUCUUUUGCCAUCUGCAUUUUGCAUAGGGUCAUGUAACCACCAGACCAGUAGGCCCCCUAAUUCACCCUGUCAGCUCCAAAUAGAGCAGACUUCACACACAAAAAGUGAUGUAUCUAAACCUGAACAAAGAAAUGGUUUAUGAUCUUCUCUUCACAUCCUUGGAUCUUAGGCAUUACAAUAUUUUUCUUUUCUUCCUAAGAUCUUUUACUAUAAAAUUUUAAAAAGCUCACAGUGCAUCAGCAUGGUCUUCUUAGAUGUUUGUUCACUUCUGUUCUUGUUGCUUAAGAAUUAAACACACAGAAAACUUCCUCCCUACCCAGUUCAUACUCCUUGUUUUGUUAAACUGGUAUUAUUACCCUUUUCAUUAGGGUUCAUUUAAAUUCAUCCUCAAAGGUUUGAUUAAAAUUAACUAACAUAUAUGUUAAUGGUCAUGUCUAUACACAAAUCUGUUUGACUAUUUUGACUAAAUAUGCGAAACUACUAAGUAAAUGGAACGAAGGUUUGGGACUCUUACCAACCAGUUAUUUGGGGAUGUAUAUCUCAUUAAAUGAUUUGGGUGAAACUUGUACUUUUCCGCUAGGCAUUUGUGUUCCAUAGGUAAACAAACUAUAAAACUAAGUUGGAAAUUCAACUGAAAAUAAUCACAGGGUUUUUUUUCAGUAACUGAGAGCCAUGGUACUGUGAGAAGUUUUUGUUGCACUCAGUUCUUCUCAUCUGUGUGUGUGUGUGUGUGUGUGUGUGUGUGUGUGUGUGUGUGUGUUUCUGAAUGCCUAACUCUGAUGGAUAUUCUAUUCAUUAAUAUUCCAUGUGUUGCCAACUGAUUCCUUUGAAAUGUCUUCUCAUUUUGUGACAAUGCUGAGUUCUAUUGGUGGUGGCUGACAUUGUGAGAAGAAUAAGUUGUGCAUAUAGUCUUUAGAUUGCACCUGCAUGCAUUCCAAUAUGCCAAAUUAUAAAGGAGCAAUAGGAAACCACAGCGAGGAGUUUAUUGGAUUAUUGGAGAGUUUUUGCUUGUGGCUGUCUCUGCAGAGUGUCACAUAGGUGGCCUUUCUGACCAGGGGUUUUAAAUGAUGCUUCAUUUGUCAGUGUGGAAAACUUCAGAACGAGCAUCCUCUCAAAUCCCAGAACAACAUCUUUUUUACUUGCUAUUCCCUUGGGAGGUUCUAGAAGAUAGAAUGGGAGACCAUGGUGAUUUGGAAAGAAAAAGAGGCCAGUCUUCAUAUCGACACCCGAGGAAUCAACCUAUAGUCUGCCCGCUGUAAUCUCAGGGGGCUGAGGCAACUGUGUGUUUAAUAAUAUCGAGGACUUUGUGACUUACAAAAAGCCAGUCAAAGCAAGGUCUGGAAUCAAUGUACAUCCACCCUUCUCAGUUUAUAAGACUAUAGGGAGAAAGAUUUGGGCUUUGUCAUUUCUGAAUCCCGCAGGGUGCUUAGUAGUGAAAUGAUGGCACUACUUGCAACUUCAGCAGCCAAUAAUUACUGAGUGUUUACUCUAAACCAAGCAAUACCCUAAGCAGUUCAUAAACAUUACCUUAUUUAAUCUUGAUUAUUAUUCUACAGUGUUAUAGUGAGUAUUCUCACCUUAUUGUCAAGAGAAUGUAGGCUUAAAGUUUAUAUAACUUGACCAAGGUGACAGCCGAUAUAGUGGGUUGAAUAGUGGUCCCCAAAGGACAUGUUCACGCCCUAACCCCCAGUCCUUGUGAAUGUGACCUUACUUAGAAAUAGGGUCUUUGCAGAUAUCAUUAAGGUAAGGAUCUUGAGAUGAGAUCAUCCUGGACUUAGGGUGGGCCCUAAAUCCAAUGAUAGGUCUCCUUAUGGAAGAAAGCAGAGGAAGAUUUGGGACACACACAGAGAUGGCCAUAUGAAGAUGGAGGCGGAGACUGGGGUGACAUGUCUAGAAAACCAGCAACAUCGAAGAUUGCUGGCUACCACCAGAAGCUAGGAGAAAGGCAUGGGAUGGAUUUCUCCUCAGCCUCCGAAGCAACCAGCCCUGCUGAUACCUUGAUUUCAGAUUUCUGGCCUCCAGAAGUGUGAGAGAAUAAUUUAUGUUGUUUGAAGCCACCCAGUUUGUGGUCAUUUGUUACAGCAACUCUAGUCAGUGAUGGAAACCAGAUUGAAAACCAAACACCAAAGCCUGUGUUUUGAGCCCUAGUCCUUACACAUCCACUGUAUUGACUAGGCCCAUGCUGUGUGUCUAAUAAAUGUUUAAUAAAUGUUGCUGGGUUUAAAUGUA